AUAGGGUUGGCAGACAUGAAAUGCGCUUAGCUUGAAACUAAGGAUAUGUAGGUUUGACUCCUAUACCCUAUU
This 72-nucleotide transfer RNA is filed under the name Histampica haimaensis. Its description in RNAcentral is "Histampica sp. h LQ-2021 tRNA-Ser". It matches the Rfam family "tRNA". From Rfam's summary of the family: Transfer RNA (tRNA) molecules are approximately 80 nucleotides in length. Their secondary structure includes four short double-helical elements and three loops (D, anti-codon, and T loops). Further hydrogen bonds mediate the characteristic L-shaped molecular structure. tRNAs have two regions of fundamental functional importance: the anti-codon, which is responsible for specific mRNA codon recognition, and the 3' end, to which the tRNAs corresponding amino acid is attached (by aminoacyl-tRNA synthetases). tRNAs cope with the degeneracy of the genetic code in two manners: having more than one tRNA (with a specific anti-codon) for a particular amino acid; and 'wobble' base-pairing, i.e. permitting non-standard base-pairing at the 3rd anti-codon position. The record is from RNAcentral. RNAcentral also lists the same sequence under 1 other name. Lineage: Eukaryota; Metazoa; Echinodermata; Ophiuroidea; Amphilepidida; Ophiactidae.